Molecule: ribosomal RNA, 492 nt
Filed under: uncultured bacterium
Lineage: Bacteria
Description: partial 16S ribosomal RNA
Rfam family: Bacterial small subunit ribosomal RNA
Source: RNAcentral
AGUGAACGCUGGCGGUAGGCCUAACACAUGCAAGUCGAACGGCAGCACUGUAAGCGCUCGCCCUUACGGGUGGCGAGUGGCGGACGGGUCAGCAGUCAAUCGGCAUCUAUUUUUUCGUGGGUGACAACGCAGGGAUUCUCAUGCUACAUCCGCAUAAGACCUACCGGUGAACUCAAUAGACCUUUCGCUCUUGAGCGAUCGAAUGAGACGAUUCCGCAUUAGCUAGCUCGCGGGGUAAUGGCCCACCAAUGCGACGUUCCGUAGCUGGUCUGACAGGAUGAUCAGCCACACUGGAACUGAGACACGGUCCAGACUCCUACGGGAGGCAGCAGUGGGGAAUAUUGGGCAAUGGGCGCAAGCCUGAUCCAGCCAUACCGCGUGAGUGAAGAAGGCCUUCGGGUUGUAAAGCCCUUUUGUUGGGAAAGAAAAGCAGCAGAUUAAUACCCCGCUGUUCUGACGGUACCCAAAGAAUAAGCACCGGCUAACUUCGUG